GACAGAGCAACAAGCAGGGGAGGAUUCCACUCCUCACGUUAGUAACCUGUGCUGACUGUGAGGACUACAGACUGUGUGUGGCAGUGACUGAUGAAUGAUGACAGGACCCAAAUGCAGUUCCCAGAUUUAUUAAGUAAUGCAAACACCAAAGACUUACUGAACUGGUGAAACAAAAGCACACAAGGAGAUUCCCGGCAAACUCGACAGAACUUGUCAAACAGAACUGACAAAGACAGAGGGGAAGACAAGGGGCUGAGGAAAGGAGCUGGGGGUCACAUAGACAGCAGGGGCAAAUGGGCCGGACAGACACACUGCUGCUCAGGAGGACGGACAAAAAGACGGAGCCAUUCUGAAGGAUGUCAGCAAGGAUGAAGUUUCCACACUGUGAAAACUGAGUGAUCUGUGCCAACAGAAG
Long non-coding RNA from Seriola dumerili (greater amberjack), 415 nucleotides. RefSeq lists it as uncharacterized. NCBI's taxonomy places the organism in Eukaryota, Metazoa, Chordata, Actinopteri, Carangiformes, Carangidae. The transcript has 3 exons. The record is from RefSeq and is a predicted model, not a curated record.